CUGUCUGUGUGCAUGUAUAAAUAGGAGAAAGUAUGUGGAAAUCACAGGAGUGACCAUGUGCGCUUGACAGCAGUGUUUGUGGAGAAGAGUUCGUUCUUUCUUCUUCAACAUUGUCUGGAGUGAAUUGUGGAGGCGGUAGCUCUGAGAACAGCUGUUUCUGACAAACACUGUGUAAACACUGUGUGUGCCACUUGAGGAUUGCUCGACUGCGUGUGUUUUUGGAGGGGGUGGAAGGGCAAUUGUUAAGAGGAGACUAACCAUCUAUCUAAUAACCAUUUGGUCUGUUUCAUACACACAGCAUGUGACAUCUGAAAAGCUCAGAGCGAUUUUGGUAGUUAAGUGUUCUGCCCAUAACAAAGCCCACAUCGGCAAAACAUUUU
This is a long non-coding RNA of Thalassophryne amazonica, 380 nucleotides long. RefSeq lists it as uncharacterized. The transcript has 3 exons. NCBI's taxonomy places the organism in Eukaryota, Metazoa, Chordata, Actinopteri, Batrachoidiformes, Batrachoididae. The record is from RefSeq and is a predicted model, not a curated record.